CGUGUAUCUUAAGUGGGGCUUUUCAAAAGCGCUUUUGUUGCUUUUUGUUCGCUGGGGGAAGGCAGGAUUAUACCCAACAAGCAACCCAAAGCUAUGGGGCCUACCCCACCCAGCCCGGGCAGGGCUAUUCCCAGCAGAGCAGUCAGCCCUACGGACAGCAGAGUUACAGUGGUUAUAGCCAGUCCACGGACACUCCAGGCUAUGGCCAGAGCAGCUAUUCUUCUUAUGGCCAGAGCCAGAACAGUGAGUCUCUCUCAGCGGGUCACCUCUUC
Molecule: long non-coding RNA, 272 nt
Filed under: Pan troglodytes (chimpanzee)
Lineage: Eukaryota; Metazoa; Chordata; Mammalia; Primates; Hominidae
Description: long non-coding RNA NONPTRT006004
Source: RNAcentral